This 635-nucleotide long non-coding RNA is filed under the name Chrysemys picta bellii (western painted turtle). RNAcentral describes it as "lncRNA (ENSCPBG00000010627.1)". Lineage: Eukaryota; Metazoa; Chordata; Testudines; Emydidae. The record is from RNAcentral.
GGGCGAGCUCGGGCGGAGAGAACUCCGAGGCCGGCUCGCCCCAGGCCGCGGCCAUGGGAGGAGUGGAGGCUGCCGGGGGAGACCCGCUGCUCGGGGUGGUUUUGAAAUAGCGAGGAAGUUGAUCUGGGCUCCCGACCAAGGAGCGAGAGGGAGAGAGGAAAGGGGGAGCCGGGAGGAGCCAGGAUCAUGCACUCGGCUUGUUGAAGCCCAGCAGGCCAGACGGGGAUGCCUGCGAGGAGAGGCGACCCCGGUGCAGAGCGCUAAGGGGGGAAGUGUUGGCACGGAGGGGGCUGUGGGGCCUUUCCCAUCCAGGGGCUGACCAGCCUCCCUUCCCGUGUGUUCCUCGCCCCAGAACCCGCUUGCUUGGACCCCUGUGAGAGGACCAUGAAAGAAGAAGACCUCAUUGGAGAGGACGACGACAUGCCAUCCUUCCGAUACAGACCAGACGGCAGGACACGGACCAACUGCAGCCGGUGCCAGAAGAAUCUGUCGCUCCAGACCUCCGUCAAAGGGCUGUACGUCUUCUGUGUCUUGCUGAUCAUCGCCGUGAUGGUGCUGGCGUCCCUGGGUAAGCGCAGCCUCGGGGGACCCGACUCCCUUUUCCUUCCUGCCUGCCCCUCCCCAGGAAACACGAG